AGUUCACUUCUUAGUAGCGAAGCUAACGCGUUAAGUUCUCCGCCUGGGGAGUACGGCCGCAAGGUUAAAACUCAAAGAAAUUGACGGGGGCCCGCACAAGCGGUGGAGCAUGUGGUUUAAUUCGAUGCAACGCGAAAAACCUUACCUACCCUUGACAUCCUCGGAACUUGUCAGAGAUGAUUUGGUGCCUUCGGGAACCGAGUGACAGGUGCUGCAUGGCUGUYGUCAGCUCGUGUCGUGAGAUGUUGGGUUAAGUCCCGUAACGAGCGCAACCCUCGUCCUUAGUUGCCAGCGAGUCAAGUCGGGAACUCUAAGGAGACUGCCGGUGAUAAACCGGAGGAAGGUGGGGAUGAUGUCAAGUCAUCAUGGCCCUUACGGGUAGGGCUACACACGUGCUACAAUGGGCAGUACAAAGGGUUGCCAAGCCGCGAGGUGGAGCUAAUCCCAGAAAACUGCUCGUAGUCCGGAUUGGAGUCUGCAACUCGACUCCAUGAAGUUGGAAUCGCUAGUAAUCGCGAAUCAGC
RNAcentral lists this ribosomal RNA (524 nucleotides) under uncultured Coxiella sp. RNAcentral describes it as "bacterial SSU rRNA". It matches the Rfam family "Bacterial small subunit ribosomal RNA", at positions 829 to 1353 of the family's 1533-position model. The record is from RNAcentral. Lineage: Bacteria; Pseudomonadati; Pseudomonadota; Gammaproteobacteria; Legionellales; Coxiellaceae.